GAUGAACGCUGGCGGCGUGCCUAAUACAUGCAAGUCGAGCGAACAGACGAGGAGCUUGCUCCUCUGACGUUAGCGGCGGACGGGUGAGUAACACGUGGAUAACCUACUUAUAAGACUGGGAUAACUUCGGGAAACCGGCGCUAAUACCGGAUAAUAUAUUGAACCGCAUGGUUCAAUAGUGAAAGACGGUUUUGCUGUCACUUAUAGAUGGAUCCGCGCUGCAUUAGCUAGUUGGUAGGGUAACGGCUUACCAAGGCGACGAUGCUUAGCCGACGUGAGGGGGUGAUCGGCCACAGUGGAGCUGAGACGCGAUCCAGACUCCUACGGGAGGCAGCAGUAGGGAAGCGACCGAGAUGGGCGAAAGCCUGACGAAGCGGCGCAGCGUGGAUGAUGAAGGGCUGCGGGUCGUAAAACGCUGUUAUUGGGGAAGAACAAAUGUGUAAGUGACUAUGCGCGUGUGAACGGUACCUAAUCAGAAGGCCACGGCUAACUACGG
RNAcentral lists this ribosomal RNA (496 nucleotides) under uncultured bacterium. RNAcentral's name for it is "partial 16S ribosomal RNA". It matches the Rfam family "Bacterial small subunit ribosomal RNA", at positions 28 to 506 of the family's 1533-position model. The record is from RNAcentral.